CUUGGUCAUUUAGAGGAAGUAAAAGUCGUAACAAGGUCUCCGUUGGUGAACCAGCGGAGGGAUCAUUAGCGAGUUCUAAACUCCCAACCCUCGUGAACCUACCUAUUGUUGCUUCGGCGGGGCACCCCAGUACCUGGGGUGCUGCCCCCUCCGGGGGGCGCCCGCCGGUGCACGCAACCAAAACUCUGUUUUCCGGUGUAUUCUGAGUAAUUACAAAUAAGUCAAAACUUUCAGCAACGGAUCUCUUGGUUCUGGCAUCGAUGAAGAACGCAGCGAAAUGCGAUAAGUAAUGUGAAUUGCAGAAUUCAGUGAGUCAUCGAAUCUUUGAACGCACAUUGCGCCCGCUAGUAUUCUGGCGGGCAUGCCUGUUCGAGCGUCCUUUGGACCCUCGGGCCCUGGUGGAUUCGUCCCCCAGCGGCCCGGCGUUGGAGGCCCGCGGCUGCCGCGGCCCCCUAAAUACAGUGGCGGACCUCUCCAGGCCCUGGCGUAGUAAACAAUCUCGCCUUCGGCUCCGGAGCAGUGCCUUGCCUCCAGCACCAACUUAUAAGUCUGGACCUCGAAUCAGGUAGGAAUACCCGCUGAACUUAAGCAUAUCAAUAAGCGGAGGA
RNAcentral lists this ribosomal RNA (608 nucleotides) under uncultured Ascomycota. Its description in RNAcentral is "eukaryotic LSU rRNA". The stretch from base 226 to 379 matches the Rfam family "5.8S ribosomal RNA". Lineage: Eukaryota; Fungi; Ascomycota. The record is from RNAcentral.